Molecule: ribosomal RNA, 1246 nt
Filed under: 'Psammotettix striatus' phytoplasma
Lineage: Bacteria; Bacillati; Mycoplasmatota; Mollicutes; Acholeplasmatales; Acholeplasmataceae
Also listed under: 3 other names
Description: bacterial SSU rRNA
Rfam family: Bacterial small subunit ribosomal RNA
Source: RNAcentral
GAAACGACUGCUAAGACUGGAUAGGAGACAAGAAGGCAUCUUUUUGUUUUUAAAAGACCUAGCAAUAGGUAUGCUUAGGGAGGAGCUUGCGUCACAUUAGUUAGUUGGUGGGGUAAAGGCCUACCAAGACUAUGAUGUGUAGCCGGGCUGAGAGGUUGAACGGCCACAUUGGGACUGAGACACGGCCCAAACUCCUACGGGAGGCAGCAGUAGGGAAUUUUCGGCAAUGGAGGAAACUCUGACCGAGCAACGCCGCGUGAACGAUGAAGUAUUUCGGUACGUAAAGUUCUUUUAUUAGGGAAGAAUAAAUGAUGGAAAAAUCAUUCUGACGGUACCUAAUGAAUAAGCCCCGGCUAACUAUGUGCCAGCAGCCGCGGUAAUACAUAGGGGGCAAGCGUUAUCCGGAAUUAUUGGGCGUAAAGGGUGCGUAGGCGGUUAAAUAAGUUUAUGGUCUAAGUGCAAUGCUUAACAUUGUGAUGCUAUAAAAACUGUUUAACUAGAGUAAGAUAGAGGCAAGUGGAAUUCCAUGUGUAGUGGUAAAAUGCGUAAAUAUAUGGAGGAACACCAGUAGCGAAGGCGGCUUGCUGGGUCUUUACUGACGCUGAGGCACGAAAGCGUGGGGAGCAAACAGGAUUAGAUACCCUGGUAGUCCACGCCGUAAACGAUGAGUACUAAAUGUUGGGUAAAACCAGUGUUGAAGUUAACACAUUAAGUACUCCGCCUGAGUAGUACGUACGCAAGUAUGAAACUUAAAGGAAUUGACGGGACUCCGCACAAGCGGUGGAUCAUGUUGUUUAAUUCGAAGGUACCCGAAAAACCUCACCAGGUCUUGACAUGCUUCUGCAAAGCUGUAGAAACACAGUGGAGGUUAUCAGUUGCACAGGUGGUGCAUGGUUGUCGUCAGCUCGUGUCGUGAGAUGUUGGGUUAAGUCCCGCAACGAGCGCAACCCUUAUUGUUAGUUGCCAGCACGUAAUGGUGGGGACUUUAGCAAGACUGCCAGUGAUAAAUUGGAGGAAGGUGGGGACGACGUCAAAUCAUCAUGCCCCUUAUGACCUGGGCUACAAACGUGAUACAAUGGCUGUUACAAAGGGUAGCUGAAACGCAAGUUUUUGGCGAAUCUCAAAAAAACAGUCUCAGUUCGGAUUGAAGUCUGCAACUCGACUUCAUGAAGUUGGAAUCGCUAGUAAUCGCGAAUCAGCAUGUCGCGGUGAAUACGUUCUCGGGGUUUGUACACACCGCCCGUCA